RNAcentral lists this transfer RNA (83 nucleotides) under Caudoviricetes sp. RNAcentral describes it as "tRNA-Leu". It matches the Rfam family "tRNA". Rfam says of the family: Transfer RNA (tRNA) molecules are approximately 80 nucleotides in length. Lineage: Duplodnaviria; Heunggongvirae; Uroviricota; Caudoviricetes. The record is from RNAcentral.
GCUAGAGUGGUGGAAUUGGCAUACACGGCGGACUUAAAAUCCGCUACCGUAAAGGUUUGUGGGUUCAAAUCCCACCUUUAGCA